CUUACUCUAUUCAACUCUAGAAUUCACUUAUGGAUCUCAAAUGUGUAUUCUUAAACUCAAAUCACUGAAGCCUUAAACCAAGCUGCAACCUGUACUCAGAACAUUAAAGAAGUCAACUAAAAUGUUUUCUCUCAGAGAGUUCACAUAUCCAAACUAGGUCUACAUCCUAUGAAGAAUUGAUUUAAAUUUGAACACGUUGGAAUUUGGGCAACAGCUGGAGAGCACAAUGUGUGUGGAAAGCUGCUCAAAAAUUAAAGACAUCCUCAGCUUUGUACUGCUGCCGCCUGGACUGUUGACAGCCCAUUAAACAAAAGUCAUACAAGCUGUACAUCUUAACGCCUUGCUUCCAAAGUGCAACCAAAGUGACUGUUUUUAUAUGUAAGAGCAUAGCAUUUCUG
RNAcentral lists this long non-coding RNA (398 nucleotides) under Chinchilla lanigera (long-tailed chinchilla). RNAcentral describes it as "lncRNA (ENSCLAG00000026570.1)". Lineage: Eukaryota; Metazoa; Chordata; Mammalia; Rodentia; Chinchillidae. The record is from RNAcentral.